Molecule: ribosomal RNA, 108 nt
Filed under: Lynx canadensis (Canada lynx)
Lineage: Eukaryota; Metazoa; Chordata; Mammalia; Carnivora; Felidae
Also listed under: 1 other name
Source: RNAcentral
GUCUACGGCCAUACCACCCUGAACGCGCCCGAUCUCGUCUGAUCUCGGAAGCUAAGCAGGGUCGGGCCUGGUUAGUACUUGGAUGGGAGAAUGUGGAAUCCGUAGAAA